This 648-nucleotide ribosomal RNA is filed under the name uncultured Pseudomonadota bacterium. RNAcentral's name for it is "bacterial SSU rRNA". It matches the Rfam family "Bacterial small subunit ribosomal RNA", at positions 81 to 725 of the family's 1533-position model. Lineage: Bacteria; Pseudomonadati; Pseudomonadota. The record is from RNAcentral.
UGUUUCGCUGACGAGUGGCGGACGGGUGAGUAAUGUCUGGGAAACUGCCUGAUGGAGGGGGAUAACUACUGGAAACGGUAGCUAAUACCGCAUAACGUCGCAAGACCAAAGAGGGGGACCUUCGGGCCUCUUGCCAUCGGAUGUGCCCAGAUGGGAUUAGCUUGUUGGUGGGGUAACGGCUCACCAAGGCGACGAUCCCUAGCUGGUCUGAGAGGAUGACCAGCCACACUGGAACUGAGACACGGUCCAGACUCCUACGGGAGGCAGCAGUGGGGAAUAUUGCACAAUGGGCGCAAGCCUGAUGCAGCCAUGCCGCGUGUAUGAAGAAGGCCUUCGGGUUGUAAAGUACUUUCAGCGGGGAGGAAGGGAGUAAAGUUAAUACCUUUGCUCAUUGACGUUACCCGCAGAAGAAGCACCGGCUAACUCCGUGCCAGCAGCCGCGGUAAUACGGAGGGUGCAAGCGUUAAUCGGAAUUACUGGGCGUAAAGCGCACGCAGGCGGUUUGUUAAGUCAGAUGUGAAAUCCCCGGGCUCAACCUGGGAACUGCAUCUGAUACUGGCAAGCUUGAGUCUCGUAGAGGGGGGUAGAAUUCCAGGUGUAGCGGUGAAAUGCGUAGAGAUCUGGAGGAAUACCGGUGGCGAAGGCGGC